AAAUUGAAGAGUUUGAUCAUGGCUCAGAUUGAACGCUGGCGGCAGGCCUAACACAUGCAAGUCGAACGGUAACAGGAAGCAGCUUGCUGCUUCGCUGACGAGUGGCGGACGGGUGAGUAAUGUCUGGGAAACUGCCUGAUGGAGGGGGAUAACUACUGGAAACGGUGGCUAAUACCGCAUAACGUCGCAAGACCAAAGAGGGGGACCUUCGGGCCUCUUGCCAUCAGAUGUGCCCAGAUGGGAUUAGCUUGUUGGUGAGGUAACGGCUCACCAAGGCGACGAUCCCUAGCUGGUCUGAGAGGAUGACCAGCCACACUGGAACUGAGACACGGCCCAGACUCCUACGGGAGGCAGCAGUGGGGAAUAUUGCACAAUGGGCGCAAGCCUGAUGCAGCCAUGCCGCGUGUAUGAAGAAGGCCUUCGGGUUGUAAAGUACUUUCAGCGGGGAGGAAGGUGUUGUGGUUAAUAACCGCAGCAAUUGACGUUACCCGCAGAAGAAGCACCGGCUAACUCCGUGCCAGCAGCCGCGGUAAUACGGAGGGUGCAAGCGUUAAUCGGAAUUACUGGGCGUAAAGCGCACGCAGGCGGUCUGUCAAGUCGGAUGUGAAAUCCCCGGGCUCAACCUGGGAACUGCAUUCGAAACUGGCAGGCUUGAGUCUUGUAGAGGGGGGUAGAAUUCCAGGUGUAGCGGUGAAAUGCGUAGAGAUCUGGAGGAAUACCGGUGGCGAAGGCGGCCCCCUGGACAAAGACUGACGCUCAGGUGCGAAAGCGUGGGGAGCAAACAGGAUUAGAUACCCUGGUAGUCCACGCCGUAAACGAUGUCUACUUGGAGGUUGUGCCCUUGAGGCGUGGCUUCCGGAGCUAACGCGUUAAGUAGACCGCCUGGGGAGUACGGCCGCAAGGUUAAAACUCAAAUGAAUUGACGGGGGCCCGCACAAGCGGUGGAGCAUGUGGUUUAAUUCGAUGCAACGCGAAGAACCUUACCUGGUCUUGACAUCCACAGAAGAAUCCAGAGAUGGAUUUGUGCCUUCGGGAACUGUGAGACAGGUGCUGCAUGGCUGUCGUCAGCUCGUGUUGUGAAAUGUUGGGUUAAGUCCCGCAACGAGCGCAACCCUUAUCCUUUGUUGCCAGCGGUUAGGCCGGGAACUCAAAGGAGACUGCCAGUGAUAAACUGGAGGAAGGUGGGGAUGACGUCAAGUCAUCAUGGCCCUUACGACCAGGGCUACACACGUGCUACAAUGGCGCAUACAAAGAGAAGCGACCUCGCGAGAGCAAGCGGACCUCAUAAAGUGCGUCGUAGUCCGGAUUGGAGUCUGCAACUCGACUCCAUGAAGUCGGAAUCGCUAGUAAUCGUGGAUCAGAAUGCCACGGUGAAUACGUUCCCGGGCCUUGUACACACCGCCCGUCACACCAUGGGAGUGGGUUGCAAAAGAAGUAGGUAGCUUAACCUUCGGGAGGGCGCUUACCACUUUGUGAUUCAUGACUGGGGUGAAGUCGUAACAAGGUAACCGUAGGGGAACCUGCGGUUGGAUCACCUCCUUACCUUAAAGAA
Molecule: ribosomal RNA, 1552 nt
Filed under: Salmonella enterica subsp. enterica serovar Enteritidis
Lineage: Bacteria; Pseudomonadati; Pseudomonadota; Gammaproteobacteria; Enterobacterales; Enterobacteriaceae
Description: bacterial SSU rRNA
Rfam family: Bacterial small subunit ribosomal RNA
Source: RNAcentral